RNAcentral lists this ribosomal RNA (678 nucleotides) under gamma proteobacterium UST991130-003. Its description in RNAcentral is "bacterial SSU rRNA". It matches the Rfam family "Bacterial small subunit ribosomal RNA", at positions 357 to 1034 of the family's 1533-position model. Lineage: Bacteria; Pseudomonadati; Pseudomonadota; Gammaproteobacteria. The record is from RNAcentral.
GGGGAUUUGCCAUGGGGGAACCCUGAUGCAGCCUGCCGCGUGUGUGAAGAAGGCCUUCGGGUUGUAAAGCACUUUCAGUUGUGAGGAAAAGUUAGUAGUUAAUACCUGCUAGCCGUGACGUUAACAACAGAAGAAGCACCGGCUAACUCCGUGCCAGCAGCCGCGGUAAUACGGAGGGUGCGAGCGUUAAUCGGAAUUACUGGGCGUAAAGCGCACGCAGGCGGUUUGUUAAGCUAGAUGUGAAAGCCCCGGGCUCAACCUGGGAUGGUCAUUUAGAACUGGCAGACUAGAGUCUUGGAGAGGGGAGUGGAAUUCCAGGUGUAGCGGUGAAAUGCGUAGAUAUCUGGAGGAACAUCAAGUGGCGAAGGCGACUCCCUGGCCAAAGACUGACGCUCAUGUGCGAAAGUGUGGGUAGCGAACAGGAUUAGAUACCCUGGUAGUCCACACCGUAAACGCUGUCUACUAGCUGUGUGUGCCUUAAGGCGUGCGUAGCGAAGCUAACGCGCUAAGUAGACCGCCUGGGGAGUACGGCCGCAAGGUUAAAACUCAAAUGAAUUGACGGGGGCCCGCACAAGCGGUGGAGCAUGUGGUUUAAUUCGAUGCAACGCGAAGAACCUUACCUACACUUGACAUGCUGAGAAGUUNCUAGAGAUAGUUUCGUGCNUCGGGAAUCAGACA